UUGAAAACAUAAGUUAAUAACUCUGCUUUAAACAACUUGAAUUCUAAUUCCCUUCCACGAUAAGGAUGCAUUGAUACCACCCCAAACACUAUUCAUUUAGUCCUUGUAAAAAAUUCUACAAAUUCUUCCAAAGAUGGAAUAAGUUAAUAAUGCCAGUCAAGUUGUAUUAUUACAAAAACAAGAGGGCAACAGAGAUGGAGGAAAGCGAAAAGGGGAAACCGGGAAAGCUGGAGCAGUGUUUUCUCCCCUAAUGUAGACAGAGGUUGGGAUACUUGUGGUUAUACUAGGAAUUUACAAUGAAAUUUAAGCGUCUUCAACUUUCAAAUUCCGUUAUCCCAUCUAUCAUAGGCAACGGUGCGGAGUCUAAUCUUCUAAAGACUUCAGGUACUCCAGCAGUAUCCCUUGUUAUCUGCAUUCACCGUGCCCAAAUGUCAUGAAAUGUGAUGAGCAAGAUGAAUAUGCUAUGUUAGAACAGGAAUAAGAGUUCAUGAGUCAAAAUGUCAGUCCUUCGAUUCAAUAACUUAUUGGCCAAGGAUAAAAAAUCUUCUCUUUAGAUACUUAAAAAAAAUUUUCCAGAGAAAUUCGCAGGGAAAACUACAUUCCUCAAGAGUGCAUGUUUACCUCUAUUCUAUACCAAAAACUCACAGAAUAUCAAUUUCUUGUCCUCUAAUAUCCUAAGUACGCACCAGCUAUCUGCAACUUGUCAUUGAAGUAUUGACAAAUCUCCAAAAAGACGUGAUUCACAAAUAUGGACACGAUUAACGAGCUGUUUCAAAGAUUUGUGAAUACCUUUUAAACUGCUUAAUUAUUAAUAACAACGGUUAAGACUUACCAGGAUAUCUUCGUCGAGAUAAGAAAUCAAGAAAAGCCUCUGAAAUGUUCCGCCUGAAGUCAAAACAGAGUGACUGAGAAUAGGUGCAAUAGACAAGUGCACAAUCAAAUCGAAAAAUCUAUCCUCAACAUUCCAUAUAUUUCCACAUUUCCUUCAAGUAAAGUUACCAUAAUAUUACCUUCUAAAAGUUACGAUCUUUUCACAUUAUGGACAAGUCAAUUUUACUAUAUGACACUCUAUUCAAUGUAUAGAUUGACUUGAGCGACACAGGACCACCUUAGCUCCACUUAGACGAUUUGUCACUCUGUUGCCACCCCAAGUCACAAAGCCACAUCGAGAUUUUGGCACAUUUGAAGUGUUAAUAGAUUUUGACACCAACAGUAAUAAUGCAUGGUACAUAAUUAAAACAUACAUGGACUUGUCCUGAUGGAAGAAAGUUAACUAUUUAUUAUUAUUAUUUUUUUUAACACUUGUGGAAGGAACAAAAUGAAAAAGGCAAAUCAGGAAUGCUCACCGAGAGGAAUCCUGACUCCACUGACUAUAGCAUCCCUGAUAGAAACAGGAAGUUGCUGAACUGUGCUAGCUGCCUGAACAAGAACACUCUUCAGUUGUUGAGGUAUAAAAGAAAUACUGUGACUUUUUUUUGAAAAAAGUGAUAGAAUGCCACUUUUUCAUAUUAUCUUUUUGCCAAACACUUUGCAAGCAUCAAUGUAAUUAAUUCAAAACUAAUUUUUCAUACACAAUCCACUCAACUUCAACAAUCCACUCAACUUCAACAAUUUUAUUUUCAUAAAUGUUAAUUCAAACAAAAACGAGAUGGAUAAUGAGUUAUAAUCAUGGAAUCCAAAACAUAGAAAUACCUGUAAUUUUUUUUGUGUUUUCGUUGCUGAUCUGCUCGACUUUUUUUUUUCAGAUUUUUCAAUGUUUUUGUGGAUGGUUUCCUCGAUUUGAAGAAUGAACAAACUUUGUUUAUGUAUUUGUGGAAGAUUUCCUCUUUUUCCUUUCAAUUUUCCUUCGAUUUUUGCACACUGGAGGCUGAUUUAUGAGGAUUGACGUGAGUUUAGGUUUUGAACGUAUAUUUUACGUUCAAUUUAAGGUAAUUGCCAUUUAAUCCAAGUUUAUAAUGAUUUUUUCAAAACAACCCAAAAAUAUAGGGUACUUUUGUAAGUACCCCAACAAAUAUUUUGGUGGAAAUUUUUGAUUUUGCGCCGACUUACAAUGACUAAUUUUAAUUUGGUCGUAGAAAAUAUAGAAAUAACAACUAUAUUUUUGGUCGUUAUAUGAUAUUUCCAACUAAUUCAAAAUUUGAUUGUUUGUCAUCCAUUUUUUACGACCAAGCUUAUAAUUUCGUCGUUGAAAAUAUUUAUUAACGACUAGAUUGAUUUGGUCGUUAAAACAUUAGUUGUUAAAUGUCAUUUUUCCUGUAGUGGUUCCACGUACAAGCUCGUGCUCAGAUCAUCUGAUGGAUCAGGUUGAGAUCGACGAUGAACUAGUCAAGUGACUUGACUCGACCCAUUUAACAUCCAAUGCUUAUAACUUUGUGAAUUUUGAAUUAUGUAAUCAUGAUUUAUAUGGGCUAAUGGACUUUAACGUUUGAUGAGGAUCUGGACACUGAUCCAACAAUUAGAAUCGUCUCGGAUAGGGAUUAAAAUUAGUUUUUAAAUAGAUUUGGAUAGAAUUUGAUGAAAUAUAUGGUUGAAAAGUUGUGAGACUCAUAAAAUAUGGGAUUAAAAAUAAUUGUUGACUUUGACUUAAAUUAAAAAAUCUAAAUUUUAAUUACUGGGCUAAAAAUGGUAAAUAAUAUGACACAUUUAUCUAUUUAGAAUUUGUAUUUAGCAGAACUUAAUUAUUAACGGUCAAAUGGAACAAAUACAUAUAUAAGAAUUAAUAUCAAAUUAGAGAAAGAAGUAUGUUGUUAUAAGCAUAUCUAGUGCUCGAUCUUCACUUAGACUAGACUCGAAUUUGGACAAGAAGCAUUUGCUAUUUGCAAUCAAAGUAAGAAUGAUUGAACUUCAAUAACAAAGUCUAGUCCAAUCGAUCAAAAGGAAGUUGCUUUAAGUAAAUCCAUGAUACACACUCAUUUAUGCAUUGCCAGGUUACGUAGAAACGAAAAUCGUGAACACGUCGAAACGCUACGAGAAACUGGGGUCAGUGACUCUCUCCUAUUUUUGAAGUUUUCUUCCUAUACAAUCAUAAACAAAGCUUUCUUCCCCUCAGCUACAUAAAUAAACAUGAUGCUCUUCUGUUUCAAAGAAUAAUACACCCUUCAAUCAAAUUACCCCCCGCACCUCUCUACGUGCAAGCCAAUAUGUUUUUAGAAUCGCUACUUCUUAAACUUUAUGCACAAGAUUGAAGGGGCCACACUUCAUUGAGUGGUUUUUUUUCAGAAUUUGAGGGGUUCCUGAAAGAGAUUAACCAGUUUCCAUUGGUAGGUCUUCAAGUGGAUGUCUAUGGAGAAUCCUAUGUCAACUUUAGAGUGAAGUGAUGUGGAUUAAUUAUUCACUUUUUUAAUUUAAUUUUUUGAGUUUUAGUAUCGGACUAGUUCUCCUUCUAACCUUACUCCAUUUGGAUAUUCUAACCGACUCAAUUAUUUACAAUUUUUUUUUUCUAUCUUCUUUCAGUUGGACUUUUGCACUUAUGUUUUGUUUCUAUCUUUUGUUUGAUAUAGUUUGUUUUGACUUUUUCUUUUUUAAAUAUUUUUCGAUUGCAAUAAAAAGAAAAGAAAAGAAUAUAGUUACCAAGAUGAUCUUCUAUUUCCCUUACAUGGCAAGUAAUGGACAUACCAAUUCAACAUGUAGUCAUCAUUAGAGACUAAGCCCCUGUUUGUUUGCCAUUAUUUGACGAUUAAAAUGAAUUAUAUGACUGUUAUCUAUUACAUCAAGUUACCAUAUUUAAAUUUCUAUCUCUUGUGUAAAGUCUAUAAUGACUAUAUUUUUUUAUUCUCGUUCUUACAUUAAUGAAAAACAAACGGAGCCUAACUGACAAAAACAAAAGGUUCCAAAAGUUUAUCAUAUUUGAAACAUGUAGACAAAAAAUAUUUGAUAUGAUGGUUGAAUGCGGAAGGCCAUCUUGUCUGCCCAAGGUAAACACCCUACAUGUGUCACCUACUUAGGCUUUGGCUAAUUAAAUCGCUCACGACUAGGCAAACUAAGGAUUGUGAUAAGGCAUGCUUGGAAAAAUAUCAAGUCUACUUAACUAAGGUCGAUCUGAGAGCCAAAUUAUCAUCAUAGACAAAAUAUUUGAUCGAGUUAAAGUUCCCGCAAGAUCUUAAACUAGUAUUGACUUGUUUAAGAGAACAUGCAGCUAGCCUUCUAAAUUGAAAGUACUUGGCCAGGGGAGUCAGAGACCAGGACAAAGGCGAUGGCCUAAAGCAUCGAAAGGUGAGGACACCGAGAAGAAACCAAGUUUGAGGCGACCGAGAACAGUGGGCUCAAGAUCAGGAACCGAAGUGGACCGAGAAGAAGAAGGCUUCAUCUGACAUAUAGUACUGGAUAUGGCAGCCAAGUCAAGACAUGACUGAAAAAAAUAGAUGCAUUCACCUACAUAAAAGAAAAAGGCAUAGCCAAGUUUGAGACUAAGAUAUGCAAGUAAUAUUGACUUGGGCACAACCUUAAAUCUAUGGUUAAGAAAGUGUUUUAUUCAUUGGCCAUUAAUUAUAAUCCGAAAUCUAAUUAUUUGAUGAUAAUUAACCCAAGAAUGUUGAAAACAUAAGUUAAUAACUCUGCUUUAAACAACUUGAAUUCUAAUUCCCUUCCACGAUAAGGAUGCAUUGAUACCACCCCAAACAUAUUCAUUUAGUCCUUGUAAAAAAUUCUACAAAUUCUUCCAAAGAUGGAAUAAGUUAAUAAUGCCAGUCAAGUUGUAUUAUUACAAAAACAAGAGGGCAACAGAGAUGGAGGAAAGCGAAAAGGGGAAACCGGGAAAGCUGGAGCAGUGUUUUCUCCCCUAAUGUAGACAGAGGUUGGGAUACUUGUGGUUAUACUAGGAAUUUACAAUGAAAUUUAAGCGUCUUCAACUUUCAAAUUCCGUUAUCCCAUCUAUCAUAGGCAACGGUGCGGAGUCUAAUCUUCUAAAGACUUCAGGUACUCCAGCAGUAUCCCUUGUUAUCUGCAUUCACCGUGCCCAAAUGUCAUGAAAUGUGAUGAGCAAGAUGAAUAUGCUAUGUUAGAACAGGAAUAAGAGUUCAUGAGUCAAAAUGUCAGUCCUUCGAUUCAAUAACUUAUUGGCCAAGGAUAAAAAAUCUUCUCUUUAGAUACUUAAAAAAAAUUUUCCAGAGAAAUUCGCAGGGAAAACUACAUUCCUCAAGAGUGCAUGUUUACCU
This 5153-nucleotide long non-coding RNA is filed under the name Olea europaea (common olive). RNAcentral describes it as "long non-coding RNA (OEUR_LNC012247)". Lineage: Eukaryota; Viridiplantae; Streptophyta; Magnoliopsida; Lamiales; Oleaceae. The record is from RNAcentral.